Molecule: ribosomal RNA, 746 nt
Filed under: uncultured cyanobacterium
Lineage: Bacteria; Bacillati; Cyanobacteriota
Description: bacterial SSU rRNA
Rfam family: Bacterial small subunit ribosomal RNA
Source: RNAcentral
AGAGUUUGAUCAUGGCUCAGGAUGAACGCUGGCGGUCUGCUUAACACAUGCAAGUCGAACGGAACUUUUCGGAGUUCAGUGGCGGACGGGUGAGUAACGCGUGAGAAUCUGCCUUCUGGUCGGGGACAACCACUGGAAACGGUGGCUAAUACCGGAUGAGCCUACGGGUAAAAGAUUUAUUGCCAGAAGAGGAGCUCGCGUCUGAUUAGCUAGUUGGUGAGGUAAAGGCUCACCAAGGCAUCGAUCAGUAGCUGGUCUGAGAGGAUGACCAGCCACACUGGGACUGAGACACGGCCCAGACUCCUACGGGAGGCAGCAGUGGGGAAUUUUCCGCAAUGGGCGAAAGCCUGACGGAGCAAGACCGCGUGAGGGAGGAAGGCUCUUGGGUUGUAAACCUCUUUUCUUGGGGAAGAAAAAAAUGACGGUACCCAAGGAAUCAGCAUCGGCUAACUCCGUGCCAGCAGCCGCGGUAAUACGGAGGAUGCAAGCGUUAUCCGGAAUUAUUGGGCGUAAAGCGUCCGCAGGUGGCACUUCAAGUCUGCUGUCAAAGGUCGGGGCUUAACCCCGGGAAGGCAGUGGAAACUGAAGCGCUAGAGUGUCGUAGGGGUAGAGGGAAUUCCCGGUGUAGCGGUGAAAUGCGUAGAGAUCGGGAAGAACAUCGGUGGCGAAAGCGCUCUACUGGACGACAACUGACACUCAGGGACGAAAGCUAGGGGAGCGAAUGGGAUUAGAUACCCCAGUAGUCC